Molecule: long non-coding RNA, 37928 nt
Filed under: Glycine max (soybean)
Lineage: Eukaryota; Viridiplantae; Streptophyta; Magnoliopsida; Fabales; Fabaceae
Description: long non-coding RNA (GMAX_LNC002743)
Source: RNAcentral
GGAAGGGGUUUUUGGAGGGUUUGGAGUGUAGGGAGGUUGAGAAAUAGGAGAGGGAGUGUUUGGAGGGGUUGGGACAUAAGGUUGGUUGCCAGGGGAAGGUGUUUUUGGAGGAGUGGGAACAUUUGGAGGACUAUAAGAAGGAGACGGUGUUUUUGGAGGCGUUGGAAUAUAGGGUGGUUGGUUACGAGGAGAAGGAGCAUUUGGAGGACUAUAAGCUGGAGAAGGUGUUUUUGGAGGAGUGGGAACAUUUGGAGGACUAUAAGAAGGAGAAGGUGUUUUUGGAGGUGUAGGAACAUAGGGUGGAUGGUUACCCGGGGAAGGAGCUAUUGGGGGGGCGUAAAUAGGAGAAGGUGUUUUGGGAGGUGUUGGAACAUUAGGAGGAGUAUAAACAGGGGAAGGAGUUUGUGGAGGAGUUGGAAUAAAUGGAGGAUGAUUAGUAGGUGAAGGUGCUUUAGGAGGAACAUAGGGAGGACUGUGAAUAGGAGAAGGUGUUUUUGGAGGGGUUGGAACAUAAGGUGGAUAAGGAAUUUUUGGAGGAGUUUGAGGAGGUGUUGGAACAUAAGGUGCUUUUGGAGGAGUAAUUGGAACAUAGGGAGUGUUUGGAGGUGUUGGAGGAUAAUAAGGAGGUGGCUCUCUCACAGCCAACACCACAAUAAUCAAUUUCUGACCCUUUUCACAAUUACCAUCUUUCCCACUAAUGAAGUAAAAUGGACCCGAUCGAUCAAACUGAAACUCCGAUUCACUAUCCUCAAACUUCUUGAUCGGGUUCUUCUUGUUACAUUUCUCAUAAUCAUCCUUGUUCACCACCAACACAGUAUCCGAGCCCUUCUUGUACUUAAAAACUAUCAACACAAAAAAAAAACAUAAGUUAAAAACAUGCAACACUAAAAAAGUUGAUACUCUUUCCAUUUGCAACGAAAAUUAUACUACUCACCAAGAGUAUCACUGACUUGGAACCUCAUCCUUUCAGCCCAAUGAUUGUAAUUCUCAGAAGGGUACAAAACCCACCCAUCUUUCCCACCAACAUAGAAAGUGUAGGCUUGAGAGCAUGAGAAGAGACUAAAGAGAAACAACAAGAGACAAGCACGUAUCUCAAGUUCCAUGAGGAAAAGAAAUGUUAAUGAGUGUUGUGUAUUGAGUUAGUGUACAUAAACUGGCAGAGAAGAAGAGAGAGAGAGUGAUGGAAUAUGCACAAAUUAAAGAAACUUCAUAGGUGGCAGAAGUGAAGUGGAGUGAGAGAGAGAGAGAGAGUUGUGUAGAAAGUGAGUGCACACAAGUGAAGGGAAUAGAUAGGGAUAUAAAGGGAAACUUUUUCCUUGGGUUACCGUUGUUGUGGUGCUUGUGUAGGUCCAAGCGUGUUAAACGCGAGGACUUUACGUGUGAAGGGCUUACAUGUGGCGAAAUGAUAUUAUAGAGUUAGAAAAAAGUUGAAAAAUUCGAGAAAGUUUCUUUCUUUAAUACUAUAGCGUUGUCGGGGUCGUGUAUGGUGGUGGGACAGCCAUUACCAAUUAAUAUUCAUAUUCUAGCUACGUACCAUACACUAGCUAGCUAGCCAUCUGUGCUAUGUAAGAGUGAGUCAUCGUGGUGCAAUUGGACAUGCUGCUGAUAUUUUAUUUUAGAACCUUACUUACCGUUGCUAUAUGGUUGGUACAUCUUAUUAAAAUGCUAAAAUCUUAUUUUAGAAGAGCAUCACGGAAUUCUAUUGUUUUGCUUGUAGGAUCAGGUUUUAUCCAUGGUAUUGGAUUCCAAUUUUGAUUUCAGACCCCAUUAAUAAAUGUUCUAUCCUUUUAUAAAGGGUACAUAGUUGGGUUGUUAGAGUUUUUUUUAGUACAUAGGUUGUUAGAAAUUAAUUUAAAUUUUUUUUUUAUUUUUAGGAUCUUGCUGAACAUUAUUCUUAGAAUAUUGAUUAAGAAAUUUUAAAAAAAUGUUUAUAAUAUAAAUCAAGAAAACAUAAAAAAAAUAUAAUAGUAUAAUUUUUUUUAUAAUUUUUUAUUCAUAAUUAAAAUAUUUCCAUUUUAAAUUUGUUAACCAAUAUUCUUAUUAUAAUGAUUAGCAUUUAGCUUAUAUUUAUUAGUUAUGAUCAUCUUUAUCUACUUUCCGUUGAGAGGUAAAAAAAAGCAAUGAAGACCAAUAAUGAAGAAUGGGAUUGGUUGGUCAAUAAUCUAGAUUUAUGCCUUGGGUCCGCAAUGACUGAUAGAAUUUGUAAGAUUGGGUUUAAGAAAUAAAUGAGUAAUCAUCCUCUCUUUUUUGGGUAAUCAAACCUUUGCUUUGUUUUGCUUUUUCAUAGACUAUUUGGUAGGAGUAAUGGGCGACCCAGUUAGGAGUUAAUAAAGGUAUAUAUCCACUGUUAAUGUUUUGAUUUGAUUAACUGCUUUAUUUAUUUGCUGAUUAUCAUUUUUCUUAAUCACAUGAUUAGUGUAAAUUAAGUAUCUACAAAAUUUGCUAAUGACUAGUAAUUUCUACUUGACAAUUUUACUAAUUACCUUUAGUAGCGUAUACAAAUAUUAUUGAAUUAACUUAUUUUGUAUUUAAAAUAGUUUAUAAUUAAGUUUUCGAAAAUUGAAAGAUUUUUAUUUUUUUUAACGCCAAACAUACCAUAAUUAUUGCAUUUUGUGGAUGAAUGCUGACUUUGCCGACUCCCAUCUAAUCUUGUAGUUGUAAUUUAUUUGGGAAGACUAGAAAUUUCCUAUGUUUGAAAAACAUUAUUGUCUGGUACUAUAACGUUACUGUAUUUUAAAUUAGUAUAUGAUGGGACAUGGGUACUUUUCUCCUCUAUAUAUAAAAACUUUACUUUUAAAAUCUCUCCAAAUAAAUUACUAAAAUUACAUAAAUUUUCAUGAAAAAACUGAAAUUAUACCUGUCUAAAAUCAUAGUCAAUAAAACGCACGUCGCUUUACCGUUAGUACUAUUGGGUUAUACAAAACAUGCAUGCAUACAAUUAUAAAUGUAUCAUUAAGAUUAAUGAACUCCCACCCGUUUUCAACAUAUGCCAUCCUAGUGUAUGGUUCUGAUCUCAUGCUCUCAUUAAAUGUACACUAACUGUACAAUCACCCUUCCAUGAUUGUAUCUUCAAUACCAUUAAUUUUGUGUUUUCUUCUUUGAUAAUGCUUAGUAAAACUAAAAUGUAAGACUUUGUGAUCUUUUCUGUUUUAUUUUAAAAUUACACCAAACCUAAAAUAGAAUCCGUUUCAUCCUGUUCAAUGUUCUAAGAUGUCUAUAAGAAAAGCAUGCCUAUCAAAGAGUACCUAAAAUUAACUUCUUUUCUAAAAUAAGUACAAUAGUAUUUUUUUUCAUUUAGUUUAAAAUGCAUUUUAAUCUAAAUUUGUUAAAAUUUAAGGAUAAUAAAAUUUAUAAAUAUUAUAUGCGUUUUUUAUUAUUAUUAUUCACAAAAUACUCAAAUCACUUACCCUCCAACCCCCUCCUUGAUUGAUCAGUGUAAAAAUAGUGUUGUAAUUAAGUAGUUAACCAAUUGGGCCAGGACUCAGGAGUAACACACAUGGGCCUGGAAAAGCUACAAUGGACAAGGGGGAAAGUGACUCAGUUGGAAAAUGUUGUUCACGGAAUUGUAGAAAAAGAGAGCGUAGUACUUCAAAAUCUAACUACAUAGAUGGACAUUGUAAUGAAAAAAAAAUUGGCAAAAAGGGUGAUAGUGAUAUUGCCUGAUAUAGAAAUUAUUCUUGAAUUUGUGUUAGGAAAAAAAAUCUGAAUGAUUCAUCUUGCAUUUGUAUAAUGUAUGAUAUUAAAUCAUGUUCUGCAAUUGCGGCACAGCAAAAUUCCAUACCAAUAAAUUAGGAGAAUUCACUCAUAGCGUCCACGUUAUAAUCUUGCAUCUACCAGCACUGGUAGUUGACUAGUUGCUAACGGUUAGGCCCAGUAGCUUCACUUCACAACUAAUAGUUUGGGCGAAGAAAAUUAUACAUAGCACACACAAAUGAAAUUUGCAUAGAUUUAUACAAAAACAUAACGUGCCUAACAUAGGUGUACUAAGUUAAUAAAAUAUUAAGACAUUAUUAUUUAUAGAGCAUUGCUAUAGAUUCCGAAACUUUCAAGCAAUACAUUCAGCCGACCAAUACCAAAAGUUUCAUUUGUCUUAAACCGUACUAAAGUAAUGUUAUUGUGAAAAGAAAUUGACAAGUGUUAAAUUUUGAAUGAAUAAGAGAAUCAUCCGGUCAAACACAUUCGGAGGACAAAUCAUUUUCCUUAUUUAUAUUAAAAAAAUAUUUUGUUUAUUAAUUUAUAAAGAUGCAUGUAUCUAAUUUACUAGCACUUCACCAUAGUCGAUUUAAUGGAUAGUUUGUAUGAUUUGGGUAGGAGUUGAAACGUCGUUAUAAACUUAUAGCCAAUCUACACACACACAAAAACUACUUUAUUGGCUUAUCAAACUAAAGUUAUACGCAAUUUAUAGAGGAAACUCAUGAAAUUCAUUGAACCUAUAUCAGCCGCACAUUCAAUUUCCAUAAUGCAUCUUUAACCUCGACCUCUUCCAUGUGGUUGUGGAUUGAGCUACCACCCUUCUUUGCUAGUAGUUAUAAGAAAUUCUCAUCUUUGCAACCCUACAACAAAUUGCUAAUAAAAACGGACUCAAUAUGGGUGCACGUGGACUAUGUAUGGUAGUUGGAAUGGUUUCAACUACAGCCUUGCAAUAAUGACUACCUCUUGAACCUCUCCAAAUUUAGCACCUUUUAUUUCCAUCCCUUUCAACUUCUUGCAAACCCUCACCAGAUUCUUAGACCUACGUAAGAAAUUAAAGUGGAACGCCAAAACACUUUAUCGUGGCUCUUUAAUUUAUAUAAUUUUCAUUCGUUAAUUUUUGUAUAGAAUAUUUCAUUCCUUUUUAACAAGUUUAUAUAAAUAAUGCACCUUAACUUCUUCUCAGCCCUCUCUCAAGAGCACCUGAUUCAUGGACCUACUUUAGAAAUAGGAUAUGCCAAAAUACUUCGAAAUGGCCUUAUUAUACUUCAAAAUACUAUUAAUACAAGAAUCAAACUGGCGACGUAUAUUACUAAUUGUUCUUUUAACUGCGCAAGGGCUGUCGUUUUGCAAGACUUACAACCCAUCAUAUAGGUAUAUCACAAGAUCACCAACAUGAUCGAUCUACACAAACACUUGCAAACUGGAACAUUAAAAAAAACAUGUUGUUGGAAAAAUGUCCCACACAUCAAUAAUUUGUUUUUUCUUCAAAGUCACACAUCAAUAAUUGGUGAUAGGAAUGCAAGCAGACAAAACACAUUACAGAGGAAAAGGCCAUGCUAAGGAAUUCAAAAGACAAGUUUUAUUGAAAAUGCAUUAGAAAUUGCAAUAGAGUUUUUUUUUUUCUUUCUAGAAUAUUAGUAUCAAAUUUCUGAAUAGCUUUCCCUCUCGAGUUGCUGGUACUGCUCUAGUUCUUCUUGCCUAUUUCGAGACAGCAAUGGUUUUCCUUGCUUUUUUUUUUAUUCUCUGAAGCCAACCCCUACGUAUAGAUUCUAUUGUAUUGAUUUUCUGUUUAAUCUCACGUGUUUGAUCCAGCAGUGCUCAAAUUUUCCAACUAGAGGGACAACUAGGCAUGACUUAGUUUGACUGAUCUGUUUAAUUUUCAACUUCUGCGAUGCUCAAAAGCUUAAACUAGGAAGACAACUAAUUGUAAAUGGUGAUAACGAUGAGGUGUGGAAAUAGAUGAGAAUGGCUGCCAUUAGCAUAUAGCCUAGCCUAGUUGCACCAGGAUAAUUCUUUGCUUUGAAAGCAAAUGUCACAAAAUGAAUUCUUAUUCACAUGAAUUACAGGGUACAAAUUGCUUAAAGUUUCAGGCCUAGCUAAGUGUGACCAAAUCUAAAAUGCUUUAGAGCCGAAUCCCGAAUGGAAACAAUGUGACAAAUUUUAUUACAAUUUUCAUUUCUUACAGUCUUUGGUGGGUGUUGUGAAUGUUGUGCAAUAGUUCCUUUCAGUCGGUAGAGUCCAUUCAGUAACCUACCUGAACCAAACCUCCUCUUCAUUUCAUCCUGUGUUAAACCCUUUCAUCAGACAAGAUAAAGGAGCAGUAGAUUGGCAAGGACUAUGUGUCAAUAACAUAUUUUUUCCCUGAUAAGUCAAAUAUUCAAGAAAGAGAUUUCUUCAUUUAAAAUGUAAGUUCAAGUGAAGCAUGUGGGGAAAAAAAUAUUUUUGAGGAAGGUCCCACUUAUGCGAGAAAUUAAUCUCUCAUCAAUCAAAUGAUUUUCCAAGGUUAAUUCCACUUAAGUGCUAAAUUGAUAGUAUUCUUUUAUGUUAAGAUAUAUUUCUGCCUAUCUCCUCUAAAUGAGUUCUUGUGAGAUUGUGGAAUAAAAACCACCUAAAUGGAGAGUUUGUUACAUUAUAUAUCAAGAUUUACUGUCUGCACCUCACAAAUACUCCAAAAAAAGGUAAAGUAUUUGUACUUUCUCAAAAUGAAUAGCAACUAUAAGCAAAAAAGUAGAAACAUUUUACCAAAAUCAUGUUUACCCCAUUCUGUGAUCAUCCUUUGUUCAUAAAUGCAGUGCCAGAUUGGCAGACAUUCAGUUAAACAACGAGAGGAUGCUCUUUAUCUUUGACCCCAGAGAGAUUCAAUUUAGUCCAUUUGGCACGCCUUAAGAAAAGGAAGAGUGUCCCAACUUGACAGAGCUGCCCACAAAUUAGACCAAUCCAUAAACCCUAUAUCAUAAAGCAAAUUCAAGACAAACAUAAUAAUGAAAAAUUACAAAUGAAAAAAAGACUCAAAAUCAAGAUAUCAGAUUUUUAGAAUGUGCAAAAUAUUUAAUAUAAACAGUUGAGUGCUGCCAACCACAUCCUCUGGCCACCCCUGUAGUAUUAAACACAAUUUUCACACCAAGAAUUUAAAGUGAAUGAUGUUCAAGUUGAAAAGAUAAAGCGGGUUAAAAGAUAUGAGGAAUUCAAACCUUGUAUGACACCUUCGACAGCAUCUAGUACUAUGGAAAUGGCAAGCAAGGGUGUCACUGAAGCAAACUCCUCUUUAAUUUGAACUUUUCAAUACAUGUACUAGAAUGUUGAUUCAGAAGAAAUGCAACAAUGCAAGCAAAGGAGAAUGUGUUCGACCAACUAACCUUUCAGCCGCACCGAGACCAACAGGGACCAUGUGCGCUAUGAAUUGAGUGUUUAAACUGCAGAUUUUUUUAAGAUUACAACAAUAAUAAAUCAUACUAACUAUUUUAUUUUUCAGGAACAGAAUACCUGAAUACCAAGCUAUUAGAACCAUACCAUAUUGCAAUCAACGAAGUUGUUAUCUGAGAGUCAGGCAACAGUCCAGCCAAGAAAACCAAAACCAAAAGCCGAAUACUCCAAACUUGCAUAACAUAAACAACAUAUAGUAAGAUUUUUUAGCUACAAAAACAACAUACAGUAAGUUGAUAUAAGGAUCUUACAUUAAAUUACAACAAUAUUCUCUUAAUUUGAAUUAAUGUAUCAUGUAUGUUUGCAAAUUAGGCUAUUUCUCCUCAUUUAGCUUUCUAAGAUCAAUAGUCAAAAGGGUAAGCAAAGUGAAAGGUUGCUAGUGAUUCAUACCAUACCAUUGCAGCAGAGGGCAGGGCCAGUUUCAUGUUUGUAAAUACGUAAUGGAAUGAAUGCAUUGAAAAUCCUUGCCAUGCCUGCUUGAACUUCUUAGCAUACAUGACAUACAAGGCCAAUAAUAGCAUUGAUAUCCAUUGUGAAAUAGAAGCUGCAAGUGGUGCACCUGCAAAACUCAGACCUGGCCACUGAACCAAGCCAUAUGCAAUACCAAUAUGGAUCAACAGUGGAAGAGCUGAGAGUGCAACCAAUGGCAUUACCACAGAUUGUGUCUGGAGAAACCUCGAGAUAUUUUGCAAGAAGCUAUAUGCAAACACUCCCGGGAUAAGAAACUUCAUAUAAAGUGCAGCUGUUCUUGCAAUGUCGGGAGAUUGAUGAAGUAACACUAGGAUGGGCUCUGUAUAGAACCAAAUAAUGGAUAUAAUGAUUGAAAAAAUAAGAGAUAUGAUGCAAGAGCCUUGUAGGUAAAUUCCCAGCAUUUGGUAUUCCUUUGCACCAAAUCCUUGUCCGCAGUGUUUCCAGUGCCCCACUCAAACCAACCUAAGACAAGAAUAAGGUUAUGAACUAAGAGUUUAAUCUAGUAACUGGUAGAAAAUUGCUAAAAGAUAUGUACCAAAAAAGUGAUAGAAGAUUAGCACUUGUGGACAUUAGAGAGAGAGAGAGAGAGAGAGAGAGAGGUAUUUUAGGAAGAUUAACCUAAGAAAAAAUUAUUCAAAACAUCCUCUAUUUAAUUGGAGUUUUAUUUCUAAUAAUCUUCUCUUUUGUUUGUCUUAUGUAAUUUAAUGCAGAGGUAUUUUAGAAAAUGAAUUGACCAGAGAUUAUCAAAAUUAAAUGAUAUUAAUUAAUUUUCAUAAUGGAUAUGAUUCAGUUUUUUUUUAUAUAUAUUUCAAUCCGAAUGAAGUAUUAUGUAAACUAUAUAUAGUAUGAGGAGUGUAAUCAUACAAGAAAAAUCUUUGCUCAAUGUUCUUUCUAAAUGAUCAAAUACUAUUUAUCACGGAUCGAUGAUCAUGCUUUGUCUUGUUCUGAUAAAUUUAAAAUUGCUAAACCAACUCUGUCUUAGGUUUAUGUUAAUUAAAAAAAACAGCAUUUCUUUACCCCGUUUUUCGGACUGUCACAUGGCAAAUUGCUAAGUCUAAUAAAUAAUACUAGAAAACCCAACCGUGCUAUGGAACAAAGCAACUCAACAUUUUAAUUAAAAAAACACAAAAUGCAGAGGGUUCAGGGUGAAAAAAGCGGGUAUAGAAGAAUGCAAUAUACCUAAUUACUUAUGUAAUCAGACUCAAACUCAUCAUCGAUUUAGUCAGAGAGUCAUUGAAUCAGGAGUCGAUUCAAUGAGUUACUUGUUGACUCAUGACAGUUUUUAUAUAAUUAUAGUUUAUAAAUUAUACAAAUACAAUGCUACAUCCUAAUUGCAUUAGUCUAAUUAUGAAGUAAAUUUCGAGGUAUAAUAAUAUUGUGUUAGUCCAACUAGGACUAGCAUCCUUGCAAGUUUGAGUUUUGUCCCUCUUAGGUAUGCUUAAGGAUUCAAUUUUGUCGUGUUUUAGUUUAUUUUUGUUUCUUUUUCUUAUAUAAACAAAAAAAAAAUCUUAACCCUAGACUGCUAUGAAAAAUAUUGCCUGGCUUCAAAUUAUGAGAAAAAAAUAUUAACUAUAUUUAGAUCAGGAAAUAAUAAAAUAUACCCAAAAAAAAACCUAAUAUACAAAACAAAAGCGUGUGUAUAUAUAGAAUUAUGAUCGAUCAGCUGUAGGUGAGAAGCAUGAUUUAGGAGACGUUAACAUAUCGUUAUUGACUUUAUUCCAAAUUCCGUUAUGACAUAUAGCUACCACAGUAAACAUCCAGAUAAAAUUGUUUAUCCAUUUUAUACCUCUCAAUUUUUAUAUUUUUUAUUCUAUUUAUUAUUUUUUGUUUCUUUUUAUUAUUGUAUUCUCAUGCACCUAAAAAAGUGUCAAAAGAUCAAUAUUCAUAAAAAGAAAAUCCAUUUUUCUGUCAACAUAAUAAUAUGUGUAGGAUAGUAAAUGGUAUGGAACCCACUUCCUUUAAUAAAAUUGUAACAUGAACGAACCCUUCUUUCCCUGUCUUGCCAGCGUAGCAUCUUUAAUAUGAGAUUGUGAAGUUUGGUGUAUUUCACUGUUAAGAUUUUUAAAAUCUUGAGUUAUUCUAAGUAAUAUAUGCAAAGACCACGUUAGAAAAAAGUACGUACCUAAUAUAUACUUAUUAUAAGUGAAUAUAGUGAAUGAGUUUAAGGCUUACUUUUUAGUUCUUCUAUUAUCAUUAUUUCUCAAAUUUAACCUUUCCAUUUUGUAAUUGUGCAAAUGUGGGUGGAUCGUUAAUUGUAUGUCAAAUAAGUAACAAAGUAUGAUCUGGCACUAUGAUAUGUUUAUUGUUUUAUGUGACAUUGUGAUGCACUGAUGUGAACGUGUUUUAAAACAUUAUAAAUAAAAUAAAAUUUAACCAAAUAGAUGAAAAUUGGCUUAAUUAUACUUUUAAUCUUUCUUUAAUCUUCCAUAUAUAAUUUUGGUCAAUUAAGUUUCUUUUUAGUUGUUUGACCAAGUUUUAUUUUAUUUUCAUUUUUAAAAAAAACAUCCACACAGCAUAAUGUCAUAUAAGAUAGAUAACGAACAUUAUGUUAUUACAUCAUCAUCUUUGUUACUUAUUAUUUAAUUUAAUGGACAAUUAAUAAUUGAAUCAUAUUUACACAAUUAAAAAUGGAAUCCAAAUUCGAGAAAUAACAAUAAUAAAAAGAUGAAAAAUAUAAUUAAGUUUUUAUUAAAGACAUAACAUUGUGUAAAAUAUCAAAUCUUAAUCACAUAGAAUGCACAAAAAUCACAUAAUAAGUUAUAUAUAUUCAUGUGUCAUGUCAUCAUAUCAGUGAUAGAUACGAAUAGUUCAGAUUUGUUAAAGUAAAUUAAUAGAAAAUCAGUUACACUAAAAAAUGAGAGACAAGAUUAAAAAAAUAAAGACUAAAAAAGCAAUUAAAUUAAACAGUAAUUGAAAAUUAGCCAGUAUCCAAAAAUAUUCAAAAAGAAUCUAAUAAGAUUUACAAUACUGAUACAUAGCUCUUUUGAAAUUUUAGUGAUUCCUAGUCCAAGAUCCAACUCAAUGAAAAUUCAUAAUCUCUAAAGAAAAUCAUAGACUUAAAUAUAGACAAUUAUUUAUAAGCCACGACGAAAGAAUUCAAUAAUGUCAACUUAAAACUAUUGUAUAUACUUUCCAAGGAACAAAAAAUAAUCCAGAGAUAUUGAAAUAAACUUCCUUUUAGAGAUACAUAGCGCCUACAAAAGACUGCAAGUUAUGCAGCAGAGUUCAGAGCAAUGAAUUUUAUAGAAUAUAUACAGGCCAUAUAGACAACAAGGAAAUAAAUAAGCAAGAGCUGAAAUGACAAUUUAUUUUUUAUUUUCCAUUUUUAAGAAGUUACUUGCAAACGCAUUGUACAUUUUCAAACUAAUUGUAGUAGGAAGGCAUCAUAGCAGUGGUAAUUAAAGGAACAAAGAAGCACAAAUUAAGUAGACACAAAUUUGUUGUGCAUGCUUAUAUAAUACUAAUAAUAACCAAAGAAAGCUUGAAAUGGAGUUACAUGGUCAGUCUUUCUUUUCUUCAACCUUUUUUUCUUCCACCUUGGUUUCUUUGACUUCCUUGACCUUUGCCUUCCCUUGCUUUGGCUUCAUGAAGCAAAAGCAAGAGCAGCAAGGGCACUGGAACAAGAACUUCAUUAUUGCCUUGUUAGUUGCUAGAUCUCAAAUUCCUGGACAGGAAGGGCAAUGUGUGCAGCUUUUGGGGCCUCUUAAUUUCUAUCUAUCUUUCUUUCUUUGUUCAAUAAUUUGUGCUAUUUAAUUCCCUUGAUUUGCUCUGUACUGCUUUUUCUUUAGCCAGCAGUGUCCAUUGGAUUCCAAUUAUGUCACUUUCAAUGUAGUGCAUGUUUAUUAAUAGUGCCAGCUUUAGAGUGAGUGAGUGAGUGAGUGAGUGAGUGUGUGUGAGGUAGUUGAGCUAGACUAGCCAUGUUGAAAAUGGGGUUAGUAGUCACAUUUGGUGUUUCUUUGUGGGUCAACUUGGCCAUGCUAUGCUAGCUAAUGGAAUAAUAAGAGUGCACCCAUAUCUUGUUUUUUUGGUCCACCAAAUAGGCUCCUCCUAAGCUGGCAUGCAUUUUAGGUAUAUUUUUUUCUCAAAAGGGUAGUUUUAGACUUGAAACAUUAGGCGCGUAUUGUCAUUAUGCUGAACUCAGUUUCAAUUCUAAGACCAUUGCUACCACAAUUAGAAGGUUAAAUUAAUAAUUUCAUUGCUAAACAUGAUGUAGCUUCUUUAAAAAAAAAAUCGAUGUAGCUUUUCAUUUUACUCCUUAUACGAAUAAAAGCUGCAUUUCAGUCUUCAUAUAAAAAAAAUCGAUGUAGCUUAUCGUUUAUUAAAGUUAGAAUGAUGUUGAAUUUUAUUAAGUUAUCUUUCAUAUAGGAAUUAUGUAGAGUUUUUCAUGUAGGGAUUAAAAAAAUAUUGAUUUUUCUGUGUAAAUACUAAAAUGAAAAAUGAUACCAAUGGAUCGGAUUACCUCAAUUGGACCCAUCUCCCACAUUAACCUUGCAACUUGGAACACCUCCCAAAAUCCACUCCUAAAUCAACACUCUACAUAUUACAGUUUACUUAUUCCCUCUGGAUUAGAUCAGAGCUUAAAGUGAGUUACCAACAUCUCACAAAUAUCAGUAAUUUCAUUCAUCAAGUGUCUUGAUGUAGCAUUAAAUAUUGGGGGCACAAAACAUACAGACCAUAUACAAAAACCAAAAUUGGAGGACGUGGGUUGUUAUUGGCUUCUAGUUCCUACUUCCUACUAUAUUAGUAUUAUUUGGAAGCAUAUCCUAUAUAUACAGAAUAUAUAAUCUCAUCAAUUUCAAAUGGACUUUAGUUCAUGAACGGUGAAUCCAUACACGUGCAACAUGAGACAGAUUGCGUAGCAAAACAGAACAAAAAUAGCUGCAUACUACCUACAUCAAUAUAAGGUUGGCCCAAUUAUUGAAGAACCAUGAAGGGAGAAGGGAGAAGGGAGGGAGGAAGGAGAAGUCACGAGUUCAAAUUUAUCAACUAAUAUUUCUAACAAAAAUUAACAAACUAACAUUUAUCCAUAAAAAUGAAAACCAACUAUCUUCAACAGUUUGCCACACAAGGUACUCUUUUAAUCUCAUCAAAUUCAGCAGUUUGUCCCACACGCAGACGCAAGAUACAUUAUCAAAAGGUUAAUUUUCUUCCCAAACCAUACAUUUGAGAUGGAAAGUGCAUGAUUUUAUUGACUUUGGUUCUUUACCAUGGCCAUUAGUCAUAUGCACCAGCACCAAGAUACCUAGCUUAUUUUCUUCCAAGUCUCCUAGCGUCAACUUAAUGCAUAUAUCAAGUAUUAUUCACAAGGCCAUCGUGAAGAACUACCAUACAUUCAUUGUUUAUUCUUUAACUACUCUUAUCUCAUUAAUUUUUAUUGGUUAUUAAAAAUUACAAAGUUAUGAGUUAAAUUAGUCAAAUAAGAAAUAAGAUCUACACAAUUUUGUGAUUUUUAAUAAUUUUCAGUUAAUUGUAAAAACUUAAAUGUGUUAACAAGAGUGUAUUGAAUAUGUGUGCAUUUCAUGGCAGGUUUGCAGUGAGUCAUCUUAGUCAAUUUCUUGAUUGUCUAACUACAGAACAUUAUACUGCAGCACAAAGGGUAAUUCGAUACAUCAAAAUGUCACCAGCUGAGGGCCUUUUUUUUCAGCUAACACUGAAACUAAACUCAAAAGGUUUAGUGAUUCAGAUUUUUUAUGUUUGGAUACCAGAAGGUCAAUCACGGGCUAUUGUUUUUUGGAAAAGCAAGAAACAAGCUAUUAUCUAAACAACUUAAAUUAAUGAAAGAUCAACAUUAUGAUAAUGUUUAAUUUUUUUAAUUGGCCUUAAUGAGAAGACACUUUUGUUGUUACACAUAAUUCAUGAGCUCAGCACUCAAAAAAAUUGUAUGUCAAAUCAAAUCAAUUAUUUUUUGUGCCUAAAAAGGCCAUAACCUGCCAAAAUAUGAGACAACAUAGUAUAUAAGAUACAUGAGUAAUGCAGAGUCUGAAUCCCAUUGCCGAUUGCUCAUAUUUGUGGGCCAAAGUUACUAAUGUUUGGGCUCUCUUUCUUCAUCAUCUGCUACUGAACUGUCUAAACUUAUUGGCAUCCUUAUCCUUCCUUUACAACCGCAACAAAAGCCAAAAUAAUUGGACAAUUUCAACAACAACAAAAAUGUUAAUAAAAGUUGUGGGUUGGGCAAGCUGUCUUACCCCAUAAGGUUGCUUAGCCUACGGAGAGGAAGUGGAGAGAGUUUGGAAGACGAUGGUUCAUAGUUAUUCAUUCCACGGAAUCUAUACAUUUCCUCAUAUAAUAAGUAUGUAAUUUGCAUUUAAUAUAUAUAUAUAUAUAUAUAUAUAUAUAUAUAUAUAUAUAUAUAUAUAUAUAUAUAUAUAUAUAUUUUACGUAUAUACAUGUAUACAGCUAAUAGCCUAAUAAAAGCUAAUGUGAAAAGUCAAAAUUCAAAAAGUAUUGCUAGUACUAUCUAACUAAACGUCCACUUAUGGUACAUGGUAACAAAAAAAUUAAUAUUUUUUUUCGAUACUAAAUUAACAUCUUUCUCAAUGAUUAAUAUUAGCAAAAAAAGAAAACAAAACAUGGAUGGUGUUUACUUGGGCCCAUAUGAAUUAGCAGCAGCACUGUGCCUAGAGAUAUUCUCCUUGACACAGAAAAGGAAAAAUAACCUAAAAAAAAAAUUCAAGUAAAAUUAUUUAAAUGAAAUUUUCCAUGUAAACUUUUUCAUUGGGAGUUGGAUCUAUCGAAAGGGCCUAAUUUCCCACAACAUAGUGAACCAAGAUUCGAAUCUCCGCGGAAAGAAAUAUCCCCAUUUAGAGUUCGUCCGUGUUUCAAGCAAAAUUACUUCCGAAGGACACACCUGAAAAAAAAAAGUUCUUAAAAAAUGAUAAAAGAAGUUGAGGCUUUUAAAAAAAUAAAAAUAAAGAAAGAAGGUGAGAUUAGUGCCAAUACCAACAAAUAAAGUCAAUGGUCACCCAGUAUUUUUUUGGGCCUAAAUCAGUUUAGUAUUUUCUGGCUCAAGUUGGAUUUGAUUACUUAUAAACCAAGUUAUAAUUAUUGUUAAUGAAGCAUCUUGGGUUGACAAAGUGCCUGGAGUUAAGUGAUAAUGUAUUAAGUACUAUAAAGUGAAGCUGUCAACAUUUAAGUGCGAGACAAUUGAGAUUUGAGGUUGCGUAAUAACAAUCCCUAAUGUUUUCUUAUAUAUAAAGGAGUACUAGAUUCUUCCUUAAUUAAACAAAUAGAAAAGAGAGCGACAACUUUCAAAAAUUGAUUUCAUAAGACAAACGGUCAUUUAAGCUGAUUAAUUUUCAUUUAUUCUGUGAGAUCAUAGUCUCAAACAGAGUCAAAAUUAGAGUUAAGAUAUUCCAUAUUGGCCCCAAACUUUGUACAUUAAAUCAACAAUAACAAGUUGGCGUUUGUGAACUAUCUUAGGCCUUAAAAUAGAGCAUGAUUGUAUAUAUGAAAAAGUAUCAAAUCUUUUAAAUGAAUUUAUGUACUUCGAUAUAUUAAUUUUUGACUCUUGACUAAAAGUUACUUAGAUAAAAAAAAAACUCAGAGUAGGAUUGAACUUGAAAGAUGACUAUAGAUAUAAUACAAAAAGCCAUAUAACUGCGAUGCAUAAUUUCUUUGUUUGAGGACAACCAAACAGCACUUAUCAUAUUUCCUGCUACAAAGCCUCAUGCCCAGCAAGGUCAUCACAAAUUCAGAAUGGCAGAUUUUAAGGGACGGAUGCAUAUAUAGAUUUUAAUACUAAUAUAAAGUCAUUGAAAAUAAAUUUAUAUCAUUGCUUUCAUGAAAAAAUGGGGUGAAUUAAUUACUUUACAAAUGUCAACGAUCAAAAAAGAGAAGAGCAUGUGAAAAAGUGCUAUGAUGGAUGUGUCUAUUAUGGACGAUGCCAUCAUGCUCGAGUAUGAAAUUCUCGUCUUUUAUAAGCUUGCUUCUCAAGAUUUAUCAUAACUAUCCUUUGUCCAAAAAAAAGGUUGUAAAAUAGAAAAAGAAGAAAAAAGUUAACGAGGUUCAAGCCAAAAUAGCAUAAUGGGCAUUAAUCUUUAUUAAGUUACCAGUUACCACAUCUUUAAUUAAAAUUUGGCGUCACAAUAUUUGACUUGAGUUUAUCAUCUAGGAUAGUUAACUAGCUUUCACUUUACCACAUUUAAGAAAAAAGGGUAACUUUUUCUUUUCUGGAUCUCAUAUACCACGAAGCUAACAAAAAUUAUAUUGCAUGUAAAAAAAUUGCAUCCUAAUUAGGAUUCUAUCUAGGUCACAAUUAUUUUAUGUCCUGGAAUUUUGUUGCAAUCAAAUAGUUUUAGCGGAAUCCUAUUCUAUUCAUAAUGACUCUAAAAUAACAAUGAUAAGUACAUUCACAUUCAAGAUGACAACACAUUUAUUGAUAUUGAAACCCAUUCAUAAAAUUUUAAAAAUAAAUAAAACGCCACACGUUAAUCUAUCCCAAAAUUCAUUGUUUGAGGAAUGCUGAUUGCUAGUAGUAAGAUAUGAACCUUAAUUUUGUGGACACAUUUAGUAAAAGUAAUUGUUAAAUUUAAAUUAGUUAAUAAAAGAGUGGUUACUUUGAAAGUUUAAAGUUAUUAAAUUAGUUUAUUGAAUAUUAAAGUAUUAUAAUUUGAUAAAGAAUAUGCGUUUCCAUGACUAACUACAUUGAUUAACUAAUAAUUACCAUCAUAAAUUCAUAAUUAAUAGACAGCUGUAUCCAUAUUAGAUACACGAGUUUUGCAAGAAUUUGCUAUUAUCAAAUUAUGAAGCGAAAUAUUUGUCUUAUACUUUGAAUCGUUAGUGAAUGUGUUACACCUUUUUUAUUCAAUAAUUCUUAAUCCGGUUUAAAAUAAUUAUUAAAUGUCCUUAAUUUUAAACAAAUAUUGUUAUGUUUUAGUUUUUUCUAAAGCAAUGAUUACAUUUACCUUAUAUUUUUUUUUACUUUAGUAUUUUUGUCUCUCAUUUCACUAAAUAAAAAUACCAUAAGAUAAGUAUAAUACAGGGAAAAAAUCAAUGUUUCUUAAAUUUUGAAAGAGAAAAAAUAAUUUAUAACAAACUAAAACUUAAAACAAUAUUUAUCUUUAAAAAAUCAUAUUAAUGGGUUUAUUUUAUUUUGAAAAAGAGUUACUAUAGUAUACCUUGACAUAAAUAUUCAUGAUAAAUUAACAGCUAUUUAUUAAAUAAUUAUUUUAUAAUUAAUAUUUUUAAAAAAUUAAAUAUAAUCAAUCACAUGUCAAGGAUAUGUCUAACUUAGUUGAUUAAACACUAUAUGAGUUAUUAUAAAUCUCGUAUCUUUAAUUCUCACAAAUAAAAAAAAUCAAUCACAAAUAAUUAACAAAGUUACUUUUAAGUACUCUUACAAAAGAAAAUCAUGUUGACAACAAGAAUACAUGAAUAUAUUAAGAAAAAAAAACAAAAUACAUUAAUAAUUGAAUCAUAUUUGUCCCAUAAACACCUAAAAUAUCUCCUAAGAAACUUUAUGCAUAACUCAUAAGUGUCUGGCUCCCAAGUAUAUGAUUUUGCUUUUGAAAAUAAACCUUGUUUUAUUAAAAGUGGAAUUUGCGAUUGCUUAAAUUGGGGCUCUAACUGCCCAACUCCAUAUUAGAAUUUUGUUUCUUUAAUUUUUCCAAGUUAUAAUAACUCCAUAUUUAAUCACGUCUCAUGAUGAUGACGACAAACCCAGCAUUUCGUGUUAAUUUUGAGUCUUCCCAACUUCUUAUUCGUAUUAAUAACUCCCAUUGUCUGGCUCAUUUGCUAGUUAGGUUGCUUGUUCUACACGCAAAAAAUGUAACCAGCAGGGUGUUUUAUUAUGUAAGACAUACUCAACAUGGUGUCAUUAGUUAAAGAUCAUGUCGUUAGAGUUACGUUGUGCACUUAUAAUAAUAUAUGCAACCUGAAUCUCUCCUCUUAAAUUUUUUCCUAAACACACGUAUAUAUGUUUGUGGAAAUUCAAAUUUAGAUGCAAAAAAAAUUAACUUGAAAUGUACAAGUAAAAAAAGAAAAGAAAGUAGAUAAAAGACAUCAUGAUGCUAAUUGAGUUAAAGUUUACGGAUAAAAAAAUAAUUAGAAUAUAUUUAUAAUGUAAAGAUUUGACUUAAAUGUAACUUUAUUUUAUUUUUUUUAAUUUUGUAAUUUCACACACACGAUAAACAUAAUUAUGUCAUCUCUCCACCUACCUUUUCAUUAUAGUAAUGUAACUCUUCAAAUUCAAGAUACAUUUCACUACCUUUUGAAAUACACUUCUUAACUUCCCAAACACUUUAAUUUUAUAUUGAGAAUUUGAAUAUUUAUUUUCUCAAAAGAAACAAAUACAUCUAGAAUCCUAAAACUAUAGGAAGUACACUACGCAAUACAUUAAGACUAUUGGACUAAUGUCAAACAAUAAAAUUUACAUUUAUAAUAAUUAUUUUAAAGUUAAAACAUUUUUUUUACUUCUUCCAUUUCAAAACAAAUGACAUUUAACUAGCCAACAAAAACAAAUGACAUUUAAGUUUUUUUUUAUAAGGAUUAAAAAAAAUAGUGAGUCAAACAAUUUUACUAAAUUAUUUUCAUUGAUUAUUGAAAAAUUAAUACACACUUUUUUUUAUAAAAAAAAUCAUAUUAAUUAUUUAUUCAGGUUUAAAUUAAAUUAUAAAAUUCAUAUUGAAUUAAAAACUUAAAAUGUUACUUGAUAUUUUUUUUAUGUAGUAAAACAUCAUUAUACAGAUAAAGAUAUGGAUAACGAUAUAUUGUUAUCCUCUAAUUAGAAACUUAAAUUAUAUCAUUAACAUAAAUAAAUGUAGCUUUUUUAAUUAAACAAAACAUGUUGUUAAAAAAUAAACAAAAAAUAUGUGUGUGGUGUUCUACAAAAUAAAUUCUGACGAUCAAGUUAGCGAUAAUUAAGGUGUUUAUGUAUAUAUGUGUGGGAUGAUUAAAAUAUACCCAAUAGUUUUACCUUUAGAUGUAUAUAUACAUGUUGGAUUCUAGGGAGUUAUGUUUUAUAGGAAUGACGUUGGAUCAUAUUAAGUAACAUCUCAAAGGGGCGAAAUUUCUUAGGCCACACUGUAAACCUAAUAAAAUCAAACUAUAACUAAAGUUGAUAUUAAUGGUCUAACCUACUCGCUCGCAGUAUGCACCGACCAUGGUGAAAGCAUUACUCAUUGUCAACGUUGUUAAUUACUUUACCUCUUUCAAAUCUUUACUUACGUAAGUACAACAAUAAAUAAUAAUAACAAUAUCUUUUCAGAUUACCAGUUCUUGAAUUCUGAUAACCAAUAAAUAAUAAGAACAUUUUAGAAAAUAAAAAUGAUCUCUUUUUUUUAUAUAGUUUAUUGAUAUAAAAUAUGUCAAUGUACUUGGCACGAGGGUUGAAAGAUUCGAAGUUAACUCUCAUCAUCUUUAUAAAUGCAGAUUCAAUUUCCUCAAAUGUUCUAAAUCUUAGUUUAAGUAGUUGACAGUGACGGAUUUAGGGGGCAAUAACGAGGCCUUGCCUCUCCUUCUUGCAAUAACGAGGCCUUGGUUGAUUGGCUAGAAGAAAUUUUUUUAAAAAAUAUUAAUAAAAAUAGAUUUUUGAGUUAAUAUGUAUGUAAUUUUUUGCAUGUUAUUUAUAGUUUUAUACAUAAAUUUAUAAAUAAAUAUUUUUUUAAACUUAAUAUUUAUUAAACAUUUAUUUACUAGAAUUUAAAUAUUUAAAUAAUUGUCAAAAUGUUAUUUUUGGCCCAAUAUACUUCUGAAUCCGUCUAUGAUAGUUAAUCCAGUUAUAUAUGUUAUUAAUUAAUAUACAAUAAUUUUAUAUUAAUGAUAAACACACAGAACAAUUUGCAUAAUAUUUUUUUUAUCUUAUUGACCGUCCCAACAUAUAAUUAAAGUGCACUUAAAUAAUAAUAUUAUUUUUUAUCAGAAAUUUAUAAUUAUAUUCGUAUAUUUGGUUAACCGAUUCAGUUAAAUUUCUCUAUAAAUAAUACUCCUAUUUGAAAUUUUGGAUGUAUUUUAAAGUUAUCACUUUUUAAUAAAACUAACAUCGAAAUCCGUGUAGUAUACGAUUUUCUAAAAAAAUAAUAAUAUAAAAUUUUUAAAUUUUUUAAUUUUAAAAAUUAAAAUGCGUUAGAAAAAAUAAAUAAAGAAUUAUUAUAUAUAUAUAUAAGAAAAUAAAAUAUGAUGCAAUGAUUUUGUUUCCGUUUGUACUAAGUUUGAAAAUCCUACAAGCUAUAUGAAAGGGAGGAGACAAUAGCUAAAAGGAGGAAAAAGGGUGUCAUUAAUUGAUUGAAUGGAAUCACGUGAGUACGAGGCGCAGGCACUAGCCUCGUAGUAGUUGACCCAAUCCAACAAAUCAAAUCAAACAUUACAUUUUUUAUAUUAAAUUAAUCAAUUAGUUUAUUUUAAUUAAUUAAAUUAGAAAAGUGAGAAAUAAAUUCUUUAAUAUAUUAUUUUAAAUACAUCCAUUUUAAUUAAUUAAAAAAAUAGAACAAUUAAAUUAAAUAUAACAUCUAUAAAAAUUUAUAAUUCUUAAUAAAUUUUGAAAAUAAUAUAUUCAAACAAGUGUGCUAGAGAUAUUUCUUUAAACAAUAAGUUAUUCAUCUGAAUGAUGUUAAAUUUAAUUUUAAAUUCAAGAUUUAUAGGUAAAAAAUAUAAUUAAUUUUUUUUAUUAAAAAUAACCUGUCAAAUUCUUUGACAUAAUUUAAUUAUAAUAAAACUACUGAUAAAUAUUUUACAUUAAUAUCAUAGUAUAAAAAAUAUUUUUUUUUCAUUAAAUUAUUAUAAUUAAUGAUCAGAGUCACUGGCCAUUGGGUCACCCAUUCCCCGUGACGUUCGGCCACCGUACCGUGGUUCCCUUUCCUUCACCUUAACCCACACUCUCCCCGUCGCGUGCAUUCCACUGCCUCCAACGUUUUUCGUAAUUGUUUUGUUGUGUUAAAAAAUCGCAUGAGUAAAUUCAAUUUUCCGAAUCUUCAAAAUCAGAUUCCAUUUGUCUUAAUAUAAUGUAGCUUAGUGAAUAAAUUCCAACAUAGCAAUCCUACACUUUGUAGCUUUAAUUGCAAUUCAAAAUUUGAAACCUAGAAACAUAUGCGGUGUCAAAUCAAUGCCGCUAUAAAUUGUAUACCCCACAGAUGAUAAAAGUAUAAUACGUAAGAAUAAGAUCAAUACAUAUUAUUUAUCAAAACUAUACAAAUAAUAUUUAUUUUUUUUUAUCUAAACAUUAAUUUUGAAAUUCACAUAAACUAAUAUUUUUUUUUAAUAAAAUAGUGAAUAUUUUAUUUUAUUAUUUUAAAUAUGUAGAGAUAAUGUUCUAAAAUCAAGUUUCUCAACCAAUGAGAAUACUGGAAGAAGCUAAUGUAUGUUACAAUACGAAGAAUGAAAAUUUGAAUUUUUUACCAAGAGAAAAUAUCCAUAUUUAUUUUCUAACCUAGUUUUUAACAACUUUAUCUUCAAAGAAGAUAAUGUAGAAAUAAAAAAUAAAAAACAAGUUAUUUUCAUAGAAUCCGCGUGACUCAAUAAAAUUACAAUUAGAUAGGAUAAGAAAAAUAAGAUAGGAUAAAAAUAUAAAUUAUAAGAUAAAUUUUUAUCUUGUACAUCAUUUAACAAAUAAUAGAUGAUACAAGUAAAAUAAUAUAAAAUUUAUUAAAAUACAUAAUAUUAAUUAUCUUAAUACAAUUGAUAUCAAUUUUAAUGAGUUUAUCAAAAUAAAAAAAAUAGAGAGAGAUUAUAAUUAAAAAAAUCAGUAUUUCCUUUUUAAAAUAAUUAUGGUGGUUAGUUACUAUUUUUUCAUUUAUUAAAAAUAUAUAAAUAAGGAUAUAUGUGUUUUUAUAAUACUUUAUAUAUGAGAAAAAAAUUGUCUUACAAUCUAAAUAACAAAAAUUAAAGAUUUUUUCAUAUCCUCAUUUGUUUAACUUGUGUUAUUUCUUAUUUUUCUUCAAAUCAAGGGUAGAAUAAAAAUAUUUAUUUUGUCAAUACCAUAAUUUUCAAAGAAUCAAACCGAAUAGUAGUUGUAUCUCUAAAGUUAUUUAAGAGUGCUGUGUUGUGAAUGAUAAGAAUGGAGUAAUAUUGUUGCCACUCAAAACUGCAUUCAUCAUUUUCUUGGUUAUUACUCAAUUCAUUCUCUCUUUUUUUUAUACAGUUUAAGUUAAUUAUUCUUCACGAAAAAUAUUUAUUAGUUAUCGCUAUUUUUAUAUGAAUAUAUUGUUUGAGAGAGUGUGUUAAUUUUUUUUCUUUCAUUUUCAUGUUUAUUACUUUUUUUUAUAAAAGUAAUUAAGUAUGUUUAACGAUUUCAAUCAAGUACUAUUUUCUUUAAAAUAUUUCAUUAUAAAAAUUUCUUAAUGUAAACAAUUGUUAAAAAUGCUAUAAAUAUUUCUUUAUCAAUAAAAUUUACCAAAAGACCAGAAGUGAUAGCAAUUGGCUAUCUUAAUAUCUUUGUUUAUCCAGGUUCUCGAGUUGAAAUCUUAUAACUAACACUUACAUCGGUCAGAUAUCAUCUUCAUUCAAUCUUUACUAAACAAUAAUAAUUAUCAUAUUUACUAGUCAAUUUCAAAUUAGUUAGAUCAGUUUUUCUCGAUGUACGGAGUGAUUAAAACAACAAAAAAUCUUAUAAAUAAAAGACAUUAAAAUGACCUUUAAAUGACAAUAUAUCAAAAAAAAUAAAUUAUACAACUAUUACAUUAUUUAACAUCCCCAAAUUGAAGCAAAUUAUAGGCCUCGGAUUUUCGUUCCACCGAAAACAAAGAAAAUUUGGUAUUGACUACGAGGAGAGGUCAAGCACAGUGGCUGGGUUAAGAUUGUCAACUUUUGUGAACUAACCAUCACUCCAUUUCAUUAGAAUUUUUUUCAGUCUUUCACAAUCUUUGUUAUUUUAUCUCAAUCCACGAAAAAAGUCUUCGACUUAUUUAUGCCGUAGUUUAAUUGCCUAUUUGGAUUUGGAUGUGAGGAAAAAAUGAGGAAAAUAUAUAGAUAAUACUUUAUUUUUAUUUAUUUGAUUGAAGAUUUUUUUAAAUAAAAUAAAAAUUAUUUUCAUGUCUAUUUAAAUUCUUAAACAAAAUAUUACCUACAAUUCUCUUCUAUUAAAUAAAUAGAGGAUAAAACUAAAUAAAAAUAUUGAAAGUUAAAAACCUACUCUGUUGUAUACUUGGAUGAGAAGUGAAAUAAAGACGAAAAAAAAGAAAUAAGAAUAAGAAUAAUAGAAAUAGAAAUAGAGGGAAAAUAGAAUAAAAAAAUGUUAUUUAGAUUGAUAGAAAUUGGAAGAAAGGAAGAAGAGAAUUUCUUUAUAUUUGUUUAGAUGUAUAGAAAAAGAUAUUGUGAACAAACAAAUGAAUUAAAAAAAUAUUUUUACAAUAAUUAAAAAUACAAGCACAUCAUUAAUUUAUUACCAACACAAAAGCUAAGCUUCUCAUUAUUUAAUAACCAAAACACAUCUUUAAUUCUAUGAAAUUAACACAAGUUAUAAUACUACUUCAAAUAUAUGUGAAUUGAAGAACCUUUUGCCGUAGAUAGUUUGUACAAUAUAAAGAGUUACACUUAUCCCUAACAUCAAAAUGCAAAAAAUGUUGAACAUCUUCAACAUCUCCUACUAUAACUGUGCCUUAUACAAGUUCAUAAUCCUUCUCCUUUGUUUCAUAAUGACCGACCAUGUCUUUCCGUCCACAAUUUCUUAGAAUAUUGAUGAAAAAAAUGACAUCCGAUGUCUUUCUUUUCUACAUUAAAAAAGUUUCAGUAAUUAAUUGAGAAACCACAACUUUUUAGGAAAUAAAUUUUAAGAAUCAUCAGCUUAUUAUGGAGUAAACCUAGAAACUCAUCAUUAGAUCGGUAGUUGUUUUAGCGGUCACAAAAUCGCACUCUCUCCACAGUGGCUUGGAGGUGCCCAUUUGCUUGUCCUACUAAUGAACGGAUCUGGGAAUCCACGACUUUAGACAAAUUCGGCCUACUCUUGCAAUUACAUGAAUGAGAAUCCAUAGUUGGUCCUGAAAGUGGAGGAACCUUGAUUUUGAAAUUAGGUGAGAAAACUCUCGAUAUUUUUAUUUUAAUUUGGGAGGAAAACAUUUCCAACAAUAACAAUUAGAGUAAAUAGUAAAAUUUAUCUUCAUAUAAUGAUAAAUUAAUCCCUAAAAAAUAAAAAAAAUAUAAAUUUAGUUUUAAAAAAUAUAAUAAAUUAAUCUUGUGUGUAUACUAUUACACAAAGAUUAUUUGUGAUUGGAAUGAUGGAAAAGAUAACAUUUGGAUAAAAUUAUACCAUAGUUAUGAAAUUUGAUUCGGUCUAACUGGUCGAUUCUAUUAUUGGAUCGGUCACACAAUUGACUCAAAAUGAUCCGGCCAAAUUCGACUAGUUAGGUCAUCGGGAUCAAUCCGAUCCGGUCAAUUUUACAAAAAAAAUGAAUCACCUUUACAACGUCAUUUUGAUAUCUCAUUAUUAUCAAUUAUUAUUUUGAAUUUUUGAGUAUAAAUAAACUUUUCUUAAUCAAAUAAUAUUAGUUAUAUACUUAUAUACAAUAAAUACAUAUAUAAUUUUAUUUUUUUAAUAUAUAUCAGGUCAAACUGGAUUAAUUAUUGAUCCACUGGUUAGACCACUAACCUAUUACCUCAACCGGACAAUGAUCGAACCAGGACUCACACCUAUGCAUUAUACACAUAAAAAAAUAUAAUGAAUUUUAAAAAGAUAAUGAAAAAAUUAAAAAUAAAAUAUGGACCAAAAAUAGUUUUUAGUUUAUUUUUGUUUUUAAAAAUAUAUUUGGAAGAAUUUAUAUCAACUAUUUAUACAUAUUUUUAACUUCUAUGCAUCAUUUUAAAUUAUUUUCAAUUUUAAUUUAAUGAUGAUGUAAUCAAAACAUAAACAGUUUUAUAUUAUUAUUUAAUAAUAUUUUAUUAUAUAUAAUAAAUUUAUUUAUUUUAAAAACAAAUGUAUUAAAAAUUAUAUCAAUAAUAUUUUAUGAUUUUUUUAAAGAUAAUAUCAAUAAUAUUUUGUGAUUGGUCAGUGGCCGAAUAAUUUUUUUUCUAUUGACAAUAAGUAAUUAUUAAACGCUUUAAAUUUACCUUCAAUAUAUAUGUGUAUGUUGGACAAUGAUAUUUCAAGACUCCCAUAACACCAACACCUCAAAUUAAAAUCCUCUAUUUCUCUUUUCUGGUUGUAUCAUGUUAUUAAUAGCAUCAAUAACUCAUUUGUUCUCUUAUUUUAUUCAAGUGUUUACGUUCAAAAGAGUGUCCAAAUAUAUUUUUCUAUACAUGUUUACGUACUAGAAAUUUGAAAUAUUCAAAACAUGCAAACCAACCGUAAUAAUGGAAAUAGGUUCAAGCAAGUGUGCGUCCACGCGCAUAAUUGAAACAUGGGUUUUGAACUUUGAACUUUGAACGUUGAAGCAACGAAAGAAAGAAGCUAUUUUCCCUUGUUCCUCGUUUUAGCUCAUCCCAAGUUGUCCAAUCCAUUGUCACUCACCACUACAGACAAAAUUAGGUGCCCCGCAUUGACAAUAAGAGAGAGAGAGAAAUGGGGUUUGCGUUCCUAAGUCAGCAACUCAGACUUUUGCUGUUUCUGCCUUUGCAAUGCAAUGCCUCCUAGCUAACACAUUUUUUGUCUUCUCUCAUCAAAUCCAUAUAUAAUUGUACAUAAGUCAGCCCCUGCCCCUUUGUCCUUUUUCAAAUCUACCAACUAAUAUAAAUAUUAAUAUUAAAUACUAUAAUACUGAUUAUCUCCCUAUCAAAAUGUCUUCAUAGUUCAUAUAUUAGGAAUAGAAUUAUGAGUAAUAAAUGUUUUUUUUAAUAAAAAAGCUAAAUUGGUGUUACAUCAAUAAUAUUCGUUAAUUUUUUUUAAUAAUAAUAAAUUAAUAUACAAGUCUUUUAUAUUAUAUUAACAUUAGUUUCACUCAAGUAUCAAUUAAGUUUAGAUUCUCUGCAAAAAUCACGAAUUAGAAUUUUUUAGAUAAUUUAUAUUUAUAACAUCAUAAAAAAAUGUUUUAUAUCAUUUAAUUAUAAAUUAUAUAUAGGAUCGUUUAAAACCGAACCAUUUCUUUUAGAAAUUGUCAACUAAUUAAAAAAAUCUGUAAAUAUCAAAAACCUCAAAAAUCACAUGUUUUUGGUGAUUUGUUUUGAUCUUCGAAUCUUGUUAUAAAAUCAAACUAAACUGCAUAUUAUAAAUAUAUUAAUUUUAUUUAACAUUAUAUAACUGGUAUUCUUUAAGUUUUUUGAUGAUUAUGGUAUGUGAUUUAUAGGGUAUUUUUUUUAAUAAUGAGUAUGUAAUAAGUGAUUUUUGUUGUGAUAAUUAAUAAUAAGUAUUAAAUGAUUUAUGAAAUUUCCUUUCCUUUAUAAUUAAUAUGCAUAUUUUGCUUUCAUAUGUUAAAAAAAAUAUGUACUAAAAGUUAAAUAUCAAGUGAUGUAUAAUUUACUAUUAUGCUAAAAAAAUUAGUAAUAUCAUUUUAUAAAAUGCUCAAUAAAAUUAAAAAUAAUAAUUUCAACUAAAACAUAUUAAACAAAAUUUGAUAAAAAAAAUACAAUUUAAUGUUAAAAUAAUAUAACAUAAUAAUUAAAUAAGGCUACUUAAUAAAAGAUAAGAAACUCACCAAAUCCACUCAAAUCAAAUCACAAAAUAUUAGUUUAGUUUAAUUUGAAUUUGAUGUUAUAUUUAAAUGAAAUCAAACUAAAUUAUAUUUUUAUUUUAUAUUUGAUUUGAAUGAUUUUUUUUAAAGAUUGAAUUAAACUGGAAACACUCCUAAUUAUAUAUAAUAAAUUUAUUAGUUUUUAUAAAAAUUAUUUAAAAUUCAAAAGAAAUAUUUUUUUAUUGAUUAAUAAUGUAACUUUUUUUUUUACAUUAAUACUACAUGGACUUAAAUUGUUAAAUAAAUUGAUAUAUAUUAAUAUAAGUAGUAAUACAUUUAAAUUCUUACGAGAGAUAUUUUUAAUAUACUUUAUUAUUGUAUCAUUAAAUACUUCCUGGACUUAAAUUGUUUAUUAAAUUGAAAAUUGAUAUAUAUUAAAUGCUAUUAAUUAAUAUUAAUAAUAAAAAUAAGUUAAAGGAGGUUAUUUAUUUCUUAUAAUAAAUAUUUAGAUUCUGGGUAAAGAGAGAGAACUUUCCUUUUCUGUCUUUUACCAUUAUUACCAUUACUACACAUCUCUCCUACAUCAUGGUUCCUUGAUUUGAGAUAUCUGCUAUCCUUGUCUUCCUCUAGAUUCUAUCUAUCACUGUUUAGGUUUGAAAAUCUGAGAGAGCUGACAGUUAUUACCCUUUGACAGAAAAAAGAAAAAAUUAAAAUCUUUGGAAGAGGAAUUAUAAAAAAAAUAAUAAUAAACAAAGGUUUUGGUUUGGAAGCUGAAGGGGGCCCGUUUGAUGAAAGUUUGUUGAGAUUAGGUUCUCAGGGCACUGUUGCUAGCUUCCCUUUUCUUUGUACUGCUUCUUCAGAUCACCUUUAAGCAUAAAUUUCAAACCUUUCUUGUUUCUGCUGCACCAAGCAAACAAAGAUUUCACUUUUGUGCAAAAGGUUUUGUCUUUGGAGGGGUGUUGUGUUGUGAUUCCUGAGAGAUCCCGUGGGAUUUUUUUUUUCAUGUUAAAUGGUGUGUGUUGAGUUGAGUUUGAGGUGAAGGGUUUUUGUUUUUGGGGUCAAAGAUCUUACAUUUCAGGUGGGGACUGAGGGAUCUCACACCCUCUACUUGUUUUGUUGAUUGUUUUCUCACUUUCAUUUUUUAAUGGUCACUGUUGAUUGCUUCGUCCGCAAGCUGUUGCCAUAUGGUCCCUGUUCUACUUUCUUUGGUGUUUGGGGAAUUGGGAUAUAAGUAUCUUCAUUUGGGCAUCUUAUCUCUUUCUUCAAGGGUGGUGUUUCUGAAUCUGCUUUCAGAUUGAGUAGGGGCUCUCCCACUGUCUCAUAUCUCUCUUGUUCUUGGGAUUUGGUUCUGGUGGGGAUUGGUGAACCAUAUCUUUUCCUUGAAAAUGGGGCUUUUCACUUGCAAGGUGCAAGUUGUUGUUUGCUGCAGUUUGAGGGUUGAAAGUCUUGCAGUUGUGACAAAAAGUUACUUAAUUUACUUCAGUUGUGGUUCUUCUUCUCAAGUUCAGUGAUACUAUUAGCUUCUGCUGUGUUCAUGCAUGAUUCUGAGCUGAGUAUAUCAGUUUGGUUUCAGCAAUGGUGCUGUUAAGAUGUUUCUCAGUGACACUUUUGCAGUGGUGUUUCUUGGCUUGCUUACUUUGCUUGUCACUAGGGCUUAAUAAUAAUAAUAAUCAAGCCCUAUCUUGUGACCCUCAUGAUUUAUCAGCUCUGAAGGAGUUUGCUGGCAACCUUACAAGUGGCUCUAUCAUCACAGCAUGGUCCAAUGACACUGUCUGCUGCAAUUGGCUUGGAGUUGUUUGUGCUAAUGUGACUGGUGCUGCUGGUGGAACAGUGGCUAGUAGAGUGACCAAGUUGAUCCUUCCCGAAAUGGGUCUCAAUGGUACAAUUUCACCCUCUUUGGCACAGCUAGAUCAGCUCAAUUUGCUGAAUCUUUCAUUCAAUCAUCUUAAGGGUGUUUUGCCUGUGGAGUUCUCCAAAUUGAAGCUGUUGAAGUAUCUUGAUGUGAGCCAUAACAUGCUGUCUGGACCUGCUGCUGGAGCUCUUUCUGGUUUGCAAUCCAUUGAAGUGUUGAAUAUUUCUAGCAAUUUACUUACUGGAGCUCUCUUCCCUUUUGGGGAAUUCCCUCAUCUCCUUGCUCUCAAUGUGAGUAACAAUUCAUUCACUGGCAGAUUCAGUUCACAAAUUUGCAGGGCCCCCAAGGAUCUUCACACCCUUGAUUUGUCUGUAAAUCAUUUUGAUGGUGGUCUUGAAGGCUUGGACAACUGCGCCACUUCUCUCCAAAGGCUGCAUUUGGAUUCCAAUGCAUUUGCUGGCUCUCUUCCAGAUUCCUUGUAUUCAAUGUCAGCCUUGGAGGAACUCACAGUCUGUGCCAACAAUUUAUCUGGCCAGUUAACCAAGCAUCUAAGUAAGCUCUCUAACCUAAAAACUUUGGUGGUUUCUGGGAACAGGUUUUCUGGGGAAUUCCCAAAUGUGUUUGGGAACCUUUUGCAGCUAGAAGAAUUACAAGCACAUGCCAAUUCAUUUUCUGGACCCUUGCCUUCCACCUUGGCUUUAUGCUCUAAGCUUAGGGUGCUUGAUCUUAGAAAUAAUUCCUUGUCAGGGCCAAUUGGUCUUAAUUUCACUGGCUUGUCUAAUCUUCAAACACUUGACCUUGCUACUAAUCAUUUCAUUGGACCCCUUCCAACUUUCCCUGUCCUAUUGCCGAGAAUUGAAAGUUUUAAGCCUUGCUAGGAAUGGUUUAACUGGUUCUGUCCCUGAAAACUAUGGCAACCUCACUUCACUUUUGUUUGUAUCCUUCUCAAACAACAGCAUUGAGAACUUAUCUGGGGCAGUGUCUGUUCUGCAGCAGUGCAAAAAUCUCACCACCCUUAUCCUCUCUAAGAAUUUCCAUGGUGAGGAAAUUUCAGAAAGUGUGACCGUAGGAUUUGAGAGUCUUAUGAUUUUAGCACUUGGGAAUUGUGGUCUUAAAGGCCAUAUUCCUUCUUGGUUAUUCAAUUGCAGGAAGUUGGCAGUUCUUGAUUUGUCUUGGAACCAUUUGAAUGGUAGUGUUCCUUCUUGGAUUGGUCAGAUGGACAGCUUGUUCUAUUUGGAUUUCUCAAAUAAUUCUCUCACAGGAGAAAUACCAAUAGGUCUGACAGAGUUGAAGGGCCUCAUGUGUGCAAACUGUAAUAGAGAAAAUCUUGCUGCUUUUGCAUUCAUUCCUCUCUUUGUUAAGAGAAACACAAGUGUAAGUGGACUGCAAUAUAACCAGGCCUCAAGUUUCCCUCCUUCAAUUCUCUUGAGCAAUAACAUAUUGAGUGGAAAUAUAUGGCCUGAAAUUGGUCAAUUGAAAGCACUGCAUGCCUUGGAUUUAAGCAGGAACAACAUCACUGGUACCAUUCCUAGCACAAUUUCAGAGAUGGAGAACUUGGAAUCAUUAGAUUUGUCUUAUAAUGAUCUUUCUGGAGAAAUUCCUCCAUCAUUUAACAACCUCACAUUCUUGUCAAAGUUCAGUGUGGCACAUAAUCACUUAGAUGGACCAAUUCCAACUGGAGGGCAGUUUUUAAGCUUCCCUAGUUCAAGUUUCGAGGGCAACCAGGGGCUUUGUAGGGAAAUUGAUUCUCCUUGCAAAAUUGUCAACAAUACAAGUCCCAACAAUUCUUCUGGUUCUUCCAAAAAACGUGGUAGAAGCAAUGUCCUUGGCAUUACAAUCAGUAUAGGGAUUGGGCUUGCACUGCUUCUUGCAAUUAUUCUGCUAAGGUUGUCAAAGAGGAAUGAUGAUAAGUCUAUGGAUAACUUUGAUGAGGAACUCAAUAGCAGGCCACACAGGUCAUCCGAAGCACUUGUUUCCUCAAAGUUGGUGCUUUUUCAGAAUUCAGAUUGCAAGGAUCUUACAGUUGCAGAUUUGUUAAAAUCCACAAACAAUUUCAACCAGGCAAAUAUUAUUGGUUGUGGUGGGUUUGGUCUUGUCUACAAGGCAUAUCUUCCAAAUGGCACAAAAGCAGCAAUCAAGAGACUUUCAGGGGACUGUGGCCAGAUGGAACGUGAAUUCCAAGCUGAAGUAGAAGCCCUCUCAAGAGCUCAACACAAGAACCUUGUUUCUCUGAAAGGUUAUUGUCGGCAUGGCAAUGAAAGAUUGCUAAUAUACUCAUACUUGGAGAAUGGAAGCUUGGAUUAUUGGCUACAUGAGUGUGUCGAUGAAAGUUCAGCUCUCAAAUGGGAUUCUAGACUCAAGAUUGCACAAGGCGCUGCUCGUGGAUUAGCUUACUUGCAUAAGGGGUGUGAACCAUUCAUAGUGCAUCGAGAUGUUAAAUCUAGCAACAUACUUUUGGAUGACAAGUUUGAAGCUCAUUUGGCUGAUUUUGGUCUCUCGAGGCUACUUCAACCAUAUGACACUCAUGUCACAACAGACUUGGUAGGAACUUUAGGAUACAUUCCUCCAGAAUAUAGUCAGACACUGACAGCAACCUUUAGGGGUGAUGUUUAUAGUUUUGGCGUUGUUCUUCUUGAGCUUCUUACUGGUAGAAGGCCUGUGGAAGUCAUCAAGGGGAAAAACUGCAGGAAUCUGAUGUCUUGGGUGUAUCAGAUGAAAUCCGAGAAUAAGGAGCAGGAAAUUUUUGAUCCAGCAAUUUGGCAUAAGGAUCAUGAGAAACAGCUAUUGGAGGUGCUUGCCAUUGCUUGUAAAUGCCUAAACCAAGAUCCUAGGCAGAGACCUUCUAUUGAAGUAGUUGUUUCAUGGCUUGAUAGUGUAAGAUUUGCUGGUUCUCAACAGUGAUCUUAGUUGCAUUCCUGCCCUGAUAUUUGGGUUUUGGUUGGUGUAUCAUUGACUAAAAAGUUGUAAAGCAAGUUUGUUGUAUGAAGGUGGAAUGUUAUUGAUACAGUAGUCCUUAUUUCGUUUUUUAGUCCCUUAGUUCAUUAAUACUGAUAGGUGUAAUAUGUAUAAAUGAUAAUUUUGGCAAUGAGAUCGUUUUGCAAUAAACAGUAUGAGUAUUUUUCUUUUUUUCCUGUUGAUAAUUUGUGGCCAAUUGUUAGUGAUUUUAAUGUUAUGUCUUAGUCGGACUUGUUCACUGUGCCCCUGCAUGUGCAUGUGAUGCAUGGCAAGUUAUGACAAAAUUUCUAAUACUUCCAAAUUAGGUGUCUUUUCUUCUCAGGCUGACUUCUUUACCUGGUCUAAAUCACUCAGUUUUGGAUAUUUUUGUCUAUUCCUGAUUGUUGGUAAGAUUCACUUUGUGUGGCUAAUAUUUGUGGUUUAUGCUUGUUCCUAAAAAGCAUGCAUGCACUAUUUCUUUUUCUUAACAAGAGUUGAUUCCAAGUAGUAUAACUUGUAUAGUCUCUACAACAUAUUGCAAACUUAAUUGACUCACUAAAUUCAGGUGUUUCCUUAAUCCUUAUUUCAACAAGGAAAAAUAAAUCAAUAGAAGCCUAGCAAAUUGUCUCAGACAGCCACUCUUGCGGAGGCACAUUUGUGGCAUUAGUUAGCAAGAUAAAAGUCUUGCCUGAAUAAAUUACUAUAUUGUUUUAGUAAUCUAGUUUUCUUGAACUAUCUAUUCCAUUUUGUAACCAGCCAUGAAUAUAUAGCAAAUUUUGUGGUGCUUGUUGAGAUUUUUAUCUUCUAAUGCUGGGUUAUAACAAACAACCUCUGCAGUAGAAGUUCAUUUCAUUAACUCAUUUUGGUGUUUAUGCCUCUUCAACUCACUUUUGUCUAGUAUUCAUGUCAUACUUGUUUCUUCUAUGUGACUGGCUUAUGCCUUCCCAAAAUCCGCUGCAGGAUAAUGUAGAUAUAAGAAUCUUUUCUACCUAUAGCAAGUAAAUUCCUUGCUCUUUUUCAUUGCAAAAUCAAAGACUAUCCAGUAGCAAAAAUCUAUUCAGUGACUAGAUCAGGAAAUAAUAUUUGCAUGAUACCUUGUUUUCCAAACUAUGCUAUUUUUCUUAUGGAAAAUAAUGACUGAAAACGAGUUGCUAGCAUAGGUGUGAAACCGGGCCCAAUCAUUGAUUCGGUCGAGGUAGUGAGUCAGUUAAUCAGUAGUCCAACUGGUGGAUCAGUAAUUAGUCCGAUUUGAUCCGAUAUAUAUUAAAAAUUUAAAAUUAUAUAUGUAUCUAUUAUAUAUAAGAAUAUAACUAAUAUUAUUUGAGUGAGAAAAGUUCAUCCAUACUCCAAAAUCCAAAAUAAUAAUUGAUAAUAAUGAGAUAUCAAAACGAUGUCAUAGAUGUGGUUCAUUUUUAUUAUUUUUUAUUUUUUUGUAAAAUCGGUCGGAUCAGACUGGUCCAACCGAGAUCCGACACUUAACUGGUUAGGUUUGAUUAGAUCAAUUGUGUGAUUAAUCCAAUAAUAGAACCAGUCUAAGUAGGUCACCAAGUUUUGGUUGGACCAAUUCAACCGGUUAAUUGAGUUUUACAACUAUGGUUGCUCGACUUGAAUUUUCAAGUGAAGGAGGGUUUUGAUGGGAGAAAAAAACAUUGACUACUUUCUUCUAACGAAAUUGGUGACGGGAUUAUCCCUUCAAUCAAAAAGAGAAUAACAUUUCUUAGUGGUUUGUUUAAUGGAGGAUGGACAAAACAACUGAAAACGCGGGGCAUCAUCAUGGCCAUAACAAGAUGAGUGGAACAUGCACCAAGGAAUUCAUCAAUUGGUUGAAGAAAUAAACCCCAUCAUAGCAUUGAUGUGAAAUUCCACUGCCAUCUAUAAUACAUGGGACUGUCUUUUCCAUGUUGAAACCCCUCUCAUAUGAUUCCAUUACUUUAAUUGGCAGGAGCUGGCUGCGGAACACCAACACUCAAAAGUGGCUUUUCUAUAGGAAAUGGACGAAACUUUUCUAUGGUUGCUCGAAAUUCUAUAUUGACAAAAAAGUUUUGAUUAAUCUAAAAUCCCAUGAAACCAACCACAAAGUUGCAAUAACACAUUUAAAUAUAUGCUGUAGCUUUUUGGGCAGCUGAGAACUCUCUCCAUUGUGAACUCACCUAAUACAAAAUGGGUGGUUAUAAACAUAUCCAAGCAAUGUCUCUUCCGCGUAUGGUGACUAAUAAUGCCUUGUAUAUUAAUAUGGUACUUCAGACAUAAAAAAGUAGAAAUGAUGUUGGUCAAGUCAUUAUCUAUGAAAGUAGAAGCAAUACGUUCCCAUUUUAAAUUGAAAUUUUCAACUACAAAAUGAGGCCAAGUAAUAAGGAAAUGUUCUCCUCUGAUUUGAUGUGUAGUUGAAAAUAGAGAGGCAUAGGAGAAAAUAGUGGAUAAAAAAGUAAGAACACAAGGGUACAAGAUAGACAAAAAUUCCUGGGACCCCACAAUAAUUAGCAUGAGGAUAGCCAUGGACCUGGAUACCCAACUUUGGCUCUCCUUCCCUUUUUCAUGUUUAAAGCUUAUAUCGAAUAGGAGUUUUGGGUAGAAUUUGCAUAGAGUUUUAGGUUUAUAAAAAUCGAGAGUAAAUUAUUAGAUACUUUUUGUAGAACUAAUUGUAUUGACCUAAAAAUAAGAAAAGAUAAUGAUGUAAUACAUUUUCGGGUGAACUAAAAUAUCUCUUAACAUGAAGGAAAUUAAAGAUUAAUUCUUCGAGAUGCUGAUAUUUAUUUAAGAGACUAGCCUCUGCAAAAGGAAUGGUCUGAUCCUAUAACUCUCAAAAUACUUUCCACGACUAGAGAAACGAUUCUAGUAUCCAACAAAUGGCACGUAUAGACAAGGCUUUUGACCGGCCGAAAUGAGCACAUAGUCAAACAUUAGGGUAAUUCUAUUGCCAUUCUUCUCUCUUCACAUCUUCUCUUAUUUCCAAAAUUAGUUUUGACUUAUUUUUUACAUUUAGAUAUCUAAUCUUCAAAAUAUAAAAAAUAGGAAUUCAAAGUGCAAAAAAGAAAAAAAAAAUGUAAAUUGAAUCACCCCAAACAUUAUUUAAGCUGAGAUAGCAAAGAUAGAACCCCACGUAGUCCCAAUAGUAACUUAGUGGACUAAAUUGGGGACUUCCCAUUUUCUAGGCCUCCUCAAAUCACAUGGAAACAACAGCUACCAAAACUUACACUAAUUAUUUAUAUAUUUGAGCCCAACAAAAAACAAUGCUUAAAUUAAAAACAUCACGAGUGCCUCUUACAUCAUAAGUAGUUCUUGCGCCUAGAAUGUCUAGACAAAUUCAUUCUUAUCUAAAUUCUAUUUGUAUUACUGUUUGGUUUUAUAUUACAACUCUUUUGCGACUAUCAAAAUUGAGAAAAAUCAGAAAUAUAUGCAAUUGAUGUCAUCACAAUCUUGUGAUGACUUCAAGAUAAAAAUAAAAUAAAAUAAACAAUAUUUUCAAGAUCGAAAUAAAUAAAAGUAGAAGAUGGUACAAAAUAACCUGUCAAAUAGAACUACAGAAGAUACAUGCAUUUGUUUUAGUUCUUACUCAGCAAAUGCUGAAUGACACAUGUCACGAACGUGUCCAUCCAAAACUCUUUCAUCGUGUUACUCAAAAACUCUCAAAUGCUGCCUUCACCGAUUAAUAAUCCUAAUAUAUAUCAAUGCUAACAAUAAAAGUGAGGUAGCUAUUUACUAGAAGAAGAGAUAUAGCAAAUGAGCAGCACCAAGGUUACAAAUGUUGUUAACCAAGAAAACAAUCCUUGGGGUCUCCAAAUCGAUUCCCUUUUACGUUUCUCCUCCCCUUUCCACGGCUUCUUUAUCCACUGCUUAUGAACGUGCCGAAGUAUAUAUCCCUCUCCUCUCUUGAUACAAAUUUUGACUAUAUAUUAAUUGAAAGAGAAAUGCUUUGCAACAACAUAUUUAUAGAUAUAUUCUUUUGAACAUUUUUAUUAUAAGCUUGUGUAGAUUUUACUUCUUAUUUAAUUUGUAUUUUUCUCAUUUUAUAAUUUCAAACAAAUCUUCAAUAAACCAUAAAAAGUGUUUUAAAAUGAAUGUUUUGAAGUAUGUUAACACUUAUCAUUAACUCAAUAUACACAGUAACAUAUGUUAAGAAUUACUUUUUUUAACGUGUAAAUGAGUGUGAAUAUCAUAUGAUUAAUAUGAUAUAAAUUAUCAUGGGGAGUUGAAAAUUAAAUGUUGCAGGGUAGUAAUGCAGUGGCAAAAGGAAGUAGUGAAAAUGGGGCGAUGAAGAGGGAGGAUAUGGAUGAAGAGAAACAAGAAGACCUGCUGUGAUAAUAUUUAAUUUUACAUAUAUUUAUUUUAUUAUAAAAUUUUAUUUUAAUAGAAAUUAACAAAUAUUUGUUCUUAUUUAUCAUAAUUUUUAGAAAAAUAUAAGCUAAUAUAUAGAUUAUUUUAAAAAAUAUUUUAUAUAAUUUAUACAAAUUACAUAAAUUUAAAUAAUCUAAAAAAUUAAAAAUUUAUUACUUUUAUAAUUAAAAUAAAACUAGAUUUAUUUAUAUAUAAAAAUAAAUGUACACAAUUUAUAUAAGUAAUUUAUAUAUUUACUAUGAAACUUAAGUAUAAAUUUAUAAAUUUUAAAUAAAAAUAUGUAAAUUAUUUAAAAUAAAAACAUAUAUAAAAUGAUAUAAAAUAAAAUUUAAAAGAUUUAUAUAUUAAAUCUUUUUUAAUUUAUAAAUUAUAAUUUAAAAAAUAUUAGCAAUUCUUAACUAAUGAUACGUAUAAAACGGUGUUUAUGAAACUAACUAAAAAAAACAAGUGUUUUAGUGAUUUAUUACAUUAUCUUUGAAUAAGAGGUCAUGAGUUUAUCUCUUGUUAAGAUUCUUUUAUUUUUCACUUUAUUUAAUAUCUUGUCAUAUAAGAGUUAUGUCAACAGUCUACAUAAGUGUCACAUUAACACUAAUAUUUUAUAUCAAAGUCAAUGUUUGACUUUGGAUUGUCAAGUGAUGGAAGGAUCCAAAUUGUUUAUUCAGAAAAAUAGAAACACUAAAUGUUUUGAUUUAGAAACAACUCGAUCAAAAUUGCGAAUUUAAAAUUAUAGGGGAAGAAAAAUUACAAUUUAGCCUUUUCUUUUUAUUUUGGUGGCAUAAUAGAAGAAACUAUUCAAAGAGGUGACAGGGUUGCACUUGAAUAUAAUCAUUCAAUACCAAUCUAUUUGAGUUUCUUUAUGAUCAUCUUGAAUAUUUUGAUCAUUUUGAAUGAAAACACCCCGAUGAGCUAUAUCAUUCAGUAAUUUGAAUAUUUUGAUCAUACCGUUGGACAACAUCCUGGUGAGCUUUAUCAUUAUUCUCCAUAGCUUGGUCACAUUUUGCAAUUAACUUCACUCUUGAUUCAUUUUUGGUAGGUACCUUAAUGCUUCCUUGGUCGAUUUUGUUUAUCGGUUGAGCGAUUUUCGUUUCAUUUGUAGGUCGAGAAAGGUUCGCCAAAGGAUCUUCAUCUUUUGCAGUACCUACUUUAGCUCAAAGAUUUUUGUAGUUGAAGUCGCCCAUAAUCUCUACAUAACACGAAAAUUGAAGUUAAGCAAGUAACAAAGUUAAACAAAAAAUGCAUAAAGUGUAUAUUGAGCAACAAUAUUCACCAUCAAUAAGCUUGUAAGGAUUCAAAACAACUAGAAGUUCUAAGGUGUUUUUAAUAACUGGACAUGGAAGUUUAGACAAAAAGUUAUUGUCAAGAUCUGAUUGGGAUAACACUUGAUGUAGAUGAAAAUUAAAUUUAAUAGGAAACUAUUCCCAAUAAAAGGGGAAUUUUUCUUUGUCAUCUAACUCAUAAAAUAACUCAUUUGAAUCGUCAUAGUUUGGAGAUGACCACAAUUGUACAAAAUUCACCAUGGCUGUGGUUUUCUUAGUAAUGCCUAAAUACCUCUAAAAAUGCAUAAUUUUCAACUCUUUUCACACGAAGCCUUUGAAGCAGUUGUCCUUCACAAACUUACAUCAAUUCAUGAGUUUUGUUAAUAAAAAUAUGUCAAAAUGCAUUAAAUUGACAUGAAAACUCACUAAAAGAUACCAUUAAAUUUGGGUUUAUACAACGAAAUAAGUAAGGCUUGAAUCUUUUCCAACAUUGGUUAUACAAAGUAAAUAUGCUUUAGUUUUGGUACCAUUCAAUGAAAUUCAACCACUCUUGGUUCCUAAGUUGAGCUUAAGUUGGUAAAAGUACAUAAACUUGUUGGGAGUUGGAAUAAUGUUCAAAUAAUUGCCUAAAAUUUUGAAGGCGCAUAUGAACGUCCAAUUGUCAAGGUGAAGUUGUGUGUGGGCUAGGUUAAGUAUGAUGAGCAUGUUGUACUCAAAAGUAGUGAAAGGGAGUGUUAGUUUGAGUUUUGAAAAUAGACACUUGUACACAUAGGUAAAUUCAAACUUACCAGGGGGCUCUUUGGAAGACAAAUUCGGAGGAGGUACAUGGUUCAUCAUCAAUAACAUUAUUUGUGUGAUUAGAGGUCGUUAAUCCCAUUGAGUUUCUCAAUUGAGAAAUUCAAUCUUGAGUUAACAUCCAAGAACAAUAGGUGUUUACAUCCCCUGAUACCCAAGAAGAUCCGAGAAGGUUAAUUGGAGGAAACUCACAUUUCUUUUUUCUCUUUAUUUUUUUACCUUUGAAUAGAUGAAAAUUAAAUUAAGUAGAAAACUGUUCCCAGUAAAGGGGAAUUUUGAUUUUCCAUCUGACCUAUAAAAUAAUUCCUUUGAAUUAGCAUAGUCUAGAGAUGGUCAUAUUGGUAAAAAAAUCCACCAUGGUCGUGGUUUUCUUAGUAAUGCUUGAAUGGCUCUAAAAAUGCAUAAUUUUUAAUUCUUUUCCACAUGAAGCCUUUGAAGCACUUGUCUUUCACAAACUUACACCAAACCAUGAGUUUUGUUAAUGAAAAUGUUAAAAUGCAUUAACAUGAAAACCCACUCAAAAAUACCAUCAAAUUUGGGUUUAUACAACAAAAGAAGUAAGACUUGAAUCUUUUCCAUGAUUGGUUAUACAAAGUAAAUAUGCCUUAUUUUUGGUACCAUUCAAUGAAAUCUAACCAAUCUUGGUCCUUAAGUUGAGCUUAAGAUGGUAAAAGUACAUAAAAUUGUUAGGAGUUGGAAUAA